AGUGAACGCUGGCGGUAGGCCUAACACAUGCAAGUCGAACGGCAGCACAGUAAGAGCUUGCUCUUACGGGUGGCGAGUGGCGGACGGGUGAGGAGUACAUCGGAAUCUACUUUUUCGUGGGGGAUAACGUAGGGAAACUUACGCUAAUACCGCAUACGACCUACGGGUGAAAGCAGGGGAUCUUCGGACCUUGCGCGAUUGAAUGAGCCGAUGUCGGAUUAGCUAGUUGGCGGGGUAAAGGCCCACCAAGGCGACGAUCCGUAGCUGGUCUGAGAGGAUGAUCAGCCACACUGGAACUGAGACACGGUCCAGACUCCUACGGGAGGCAGCAGUGGGGAAUAUUGGACAAUGGGCGAAAGCCUGAUCCAGCCAUACCGCGUGGGUGAAGAAGGCCUUCGGGUUGUAAAGCCCUUUUGUUGGGAAAGAAAAGCAGCAGGUUAAUACCCCGCUGUUCUGACGGUACCCAAAGAAUAAGCACCGGCUAACUUCGUG
RNAcentral lists this ribosomal RNA (492 nucleotides) under uncultured bacterium. RNAcentral describes it as "partial 16S ribosomal RNA". It matches the Rfam family "Bacterial small subunit ribosomal RNA", at positions 29 to 507 of the family's 1533-position model. The record is from RNAcentral.